Molecule: ribosomal RNA, 443 nt
Filed under: uncultured bacterium
Lineage: Bacteria
Description: SSU rRNA
Rfam family: Bacterial small subunit ribosomal RNA
Source: RNAcentral
AGAACGAACGCUGGCGGCAGGCUUAACACAUGCAAGUCGAACGCACCGCAAGGUGAGUGGCAGACGGGUGAGUAACGCGUGGGAAUCUACCCAGCCCUUCGGAAUAGCUCCGGGAAACUGGAAUUAAUACCGAGUACGCCCUACGGGGGAAAGAUUUAUCGGGGUUGGAUGAGCCCGCGUUGGAUUAGCUAGUUGGUGGGGUAAUGGCCUACCAAGGCGACGAUCCAUAGCUGGUCUGAGAGGAUGAUCAGCCACACUGGGACUGAGACACGGCCCAGACUCCUACGGGAGGCAGCAGUGGGGAAUAUUGGACAAUGGGCGAAAGCCUGAUCCAGCCAUGCCGCGUGAGUGACGAAGGCCUUAGGGUUGUAAAGCUCUUUCAGUGGGGAAGAUAAUGACGGUACCCACAGAAGAAGCCCCGGCAACUACGUGCCAGCAGCCGC